Molecule: microRNA precursor, 85 nt
Filed under: Medicago truncatula (barrel medic)
Lineage: Eukaryota; Viridiplantae; Streptophyta; Magnoliopsida; Fabales; Fabaceae
Description: MIR2617 microRNA precursor family
Rfam family: MIR2617 microRNA precursor family
Source: Rfam by way of RNAcentral
UAGCAGUGUAGCAGGCCCGUUUUGGUGAUAAACACUGAUUUAUUAAUAUAUUUAUGUUGUUGGGUUAACGGGGUGUUACACUAUU